Long non-coding RNA from Cynocephalus volans (Philippine flying lemur), 547 nucleotides. RefSeq lists it as uncharacterized. The record is from RefSeq and is a predicted model, not a curated record. The transcript is spliced from 2 exons. Lineage: Eukaryota; Metazoa; Chordata; Mammalia; Dermoptera; Cynocephalidae.
GCGGGCUCGGGGGCGGCGGCCGGCGGGCUCGGGGGCGGCGGCCGGCGGGUUCGGGAGCUGCUGCAGCCCGGAGCGCUCCCCGCCCCGCUCACCGCUCCCUUCAUAAAAUUGGGCAUGCACAGAAGGCCAAGCAGUAUAAUGAAGAAAAACAACAGGACAAUUCCUUCCUAACUGUGUUGGAGCAUUUAAGGAAGGAUAGCUCUGAAACUUGGGUACCAUGGAAAGCUCCUGGACUCAGCUGGUUGCAGCUAGAAAUCUGAUUAACAAGAGUGAUUCUUACUGGUUUUAGACUUUAUUUAAUAAAAUGGAUUUUCUGAGUACCUCUGAAGACUCUGUCAGUAAUAGUUUACCUGAAAGUCUUCAAGCCAAAGACCUGAGACAGUUUGAUCCAGUGAAAGGCACAGGAGUUAGAAUGAAGAAACCAGAGAAUUUUGUCCUUUACCUGAGGCUCAUUUCUACUGUACCUCAGUUCUCUCCUUUGUAAAACAGAGAUAAUCAUCCGUCUCUCACAGCAUUGUUAUAAGAAUUAAAUGAGGUUAGAGAAUGA